RNAcentral lists this transfer RNA (63 nucleotides) under Urechis caupo. RNAcentral's name for it is "tRNA-Asn". Lineage: Eukaryota; Metazoa; Annelida; Polychaeta; Xenopneusta; Urechidae. RNAcentral also lists the same sequence under 1 other name. The record is from RNAcentral.
UAAGUAGAAGCCAAGAAGGCACCUAUCUGUUAAUUAGGCCUGAGCCCAAGUGGGCCUACUUAU